GGAAUAUUGGACAAUGGGCGAAAGCCUGAUCCAGCCAUGCCGCGUGUGUGAAGAAGGUCUUCGGAUUGUAAAGCACUUUAAGUUGGGAGGAAGGGCAUUAACCUAAUACGUUGGUGUCUUGACGUUACCGACAGAAUAAGCACCGGCUAACUCUGUGCCAGCAGCCGCGGUAAUACAGAGGGUGCAAGCGUUAAUCGGAAUUACUGGGCGUAAAGCGCGCGUAGGUGGUUCGUUAAGUUGGAUGUGAAAUCCCCGGGCUCAACCUGGGAACUGCAUUCAAAACUGACGAGCUAGAGUAUGGUAGAGGGUGGUGGAAUUUCCUGUGUAGCGGUGAAAUGCGUAGAUAUAGGAAGGAACACCAGUGGCGAAGGCGACCACCUGGACUGAUACUGACACUGAGGUGCGAAAGCGUGGGGAGCAAACAGGAUUAGAUACCCCAG
Molecule: ribosomal RNA, 440 nt
Filed under: uncultured Pseudomonas sp.
Lineage: Bacteria; Pseudomonadati; Pseudomonadota; Gammaproteobacteria; Pseudomonadales; Pseudomonadaceae
Description: bacterial SSU rRNA
Rfam family: Bacterial small subunit ribosomal RNA
Source: RNAcentral